AGAGUUUGAUCAUGGCUCAGGAUGAAAGCUGGCGGCGUGCUUUACACAUGCAAGUCGAAAGAAACUUUCGGGGUUUGUGGCGGACGGGUGAGUAAAGCGUGAGGAUCUGCCCUUUGGCGGGGGACAAAAUUUGGAAAAGGAAGCUAAAACCCCAUAUGUCGAGAGAUGAAAGCUUUAUGUGCCUGAGGAAGAGCUCGCGUCUGAUUUGCUAGUUGGUGAGGUAAAAGCUUUCCAAGGCGACGAUCAGUAGCUGUUCUGAGAGGAAGAUCAGCCACACUGGGACUGAGACACGGCCCAGACUCCUACGGGAGGCAGCAGUGGGGAAAUUUCCGCAAAGGGCGCAAGCCUGACGGAGCAAAGCCGCGUGAGGGAGGAAAGUCUGUGGAUUGUAAAACUCUUUUCUCUGUGAAGAAGAUCUGACGGUAGCAGAGGAAACAGCAUCGGCUAAAACCGUGCCAGCAGCCGCGGUAAGACGGAGGAUGCAAGCGUUAUCCGGAAAUUUUGGGCGUAAAGCGUCCGUAGGCGGUUUAUUUAGUCAGUUGUUUAAGACUGCAGCUCAACUGUGGGAGAGCAAAAGAAAAAGGUUUACUAGAGUAUGGUAGGGGUAGAGGGAAAUCCUAGUGUAGCGGUGAAAAGCGUAGAUAUUUGGAAGAAAACCAGUGGCGAAGGCGCUCUACUGGGCCAAGACUGACGCUGAUGGACGAAAGUUUGGGGAGCGAAAGGGAUUUGAUACCCCUGUAGUCCUAGCUGUAAAAGAUGGAUACUAGGUGUUGUGCGUAUCGACCCGUGCAGUACCGAAGCAAAAGCGUUUAGUAUCCCGCCUGGGGAGUACGCACGCAAGUGUGAAAAACAAAGGAAAUGACGGGGGCCCGCACAAGCGGUGGAGUAUGUGGUUUUAUUCGAUGCAAAGCGAAGAAACUUUCCAGGACUUGACAUCCCUCGAAAAACUGAGAAAACGGUAGGUGCCUUCGGGAGCGAGGAGACAGGUGGUGCAUGGCUGUCGUCAGCUCGUGUCGUGAGAUGUGGGUUUAGUCCCGCAAAGAGCGCAACCCACGUCUUUUGUUGCCAUCAUUCAGUUGGGCACUCUGGAGAGACUGCCGGGGACAAAACGGAGGAAGGUGUGGACGACGUCAAGUCAUCAUGCCCCUUUCGUUCUGGGCUACACACGUACUACAAAGCAAAGGACAAAGGGCAGCCAAAAAGCGAUAGUGAGCUAAACCCAUAAAACGUUGCACAGUUCAGAUUGCAGGCUGCAAAACGCCUGCAUGAAGGAGGAAACGCUAGUAAACGCAGGUCAGCAUACUGCGGUGAAAACGUUCCCGGGCCUUGUACACACCGCCCGUCACACCAUGGAAGUUGGCCAUGCCCGAAGUCGUUUCCCUAAACGUUCGCGGAGGGGGGCGCCGAAGGCAGGGCUGAUGACUGGGGUGAAGUCGUAAAAAGGUAGCCGUA
RNAcentral lists this ribosomal RNA (1452 nucleotides) under Leptolyngbya tentaculiformis SERB 16. Its description in RNAcentral is "bacterial SSU rRNA". It matches the Rfam family "Bacterial small subunit ribosomal RNA". The record is from RNAcentral. Lineage: Bacteria; Bacillati; Cyanobacteriota; Cyanophyceae; Leptolyngbyales; Leptolyngbyaceae.